This 345-nucleotide ribosomal RNA is filed under the name Triticum aestivum (bread wheat). Its description in RNAcentral is "partial small subunit ribosomal RNA". The record is from RNAcentral. Lineage: Eukaryota; Viridiplantae; Streptophyta; Magnoliopsida; Poales; Poaceae.
AUGCCUCCCAUAUUGCCAUGUCAGCCGCUAACCUUUUCACCCUUCCUAGCAAACCGUUGCUUGGCUAUGUUACCGCUUUGCUCAGCCCCUCUUAUAGCAUUGUUAGUUGCAGGUGAAGUUGAAGAUUGCUCCACGAUGGACAGGAUUAUUUUGGGAUAUCACAAUAUCUCUUAUUUAUUUAAUGCAUCUAUAUACUUGGUAAAGGGUGGAAGACUCGGCCUUAUGCCUGGUGUUUUGUUCCACUCUUGCCACCCUAGUUUCCGUCAUACCGGUGUUAUGUUCCCGGAUUUUGCGUUCCUUACGCGGUUGGGUGAUUUAUGGGACCCCCUUGAUAGUUCGCUUUGA